This 27-nucleotide non-coding RNA is filed under the name Bombyx mori (domestic silkworm). Lineage: Eukaryota; Metazoa; Arthropoda; Insecta; Lepidoptera; Bombycidae. The record is from RNAcentral.
UACAUAGAUCUAAGACGAGCUAGAGUG